GAUCUGACUGCAACAUCUGUCACCCCACGGAUUGCUUGAUUGAAUCCGCUGAGCUGGCUGGCUAGAUAGGUGUCUUCUUAUGUGCUCCUUUCUAAGUUGCUAGCAAGGCAGAAGAGGAUGGCCUUUCUGUAAUAGAGAAUGAAACUUCUUUAGUCUACAAUAUACUAGUUUGAGUGCCCCUUUCUAGAACCACCAAACAAGAUCCACACAACAUCCAAACAAAUGAGGUUCUGUGUGGGAAAACUGGUGAAGGGAAGUGGACACUCUAGUAGACUGUUUGAAAGUUUAUUGCAUAAAAU
RNAcentral lists this small nuclear RNA (299 nucleotides) under Sorex araneus (European shrew). Its description in RNAcentral is "7SK RNA (ENSSARG00000018930.1)". It matches the Rfam family "7SK RNA". Rfam says of the family: 7SK was discovered as an abundant small nuclear RNA in the mid-70s but a possible function has only recently been suggested. Two independent studies have found that 7SK RNA binds the CDK9/cyclin T complex (known as elongation factor P-TEFb). P-TEFb activates transcription by phosphorylating the C-terminal domain of RNA polymerase II. The record is from RNAcentral. Lineage: Eukaryota; Metazoa; Chordata; Mammalia; Eulipotyphla; Soricidae.